UUCUUACAACUUGGUAGAAAGAGGUUCCUGCAAUACUAUGUUUAUCCUUUUGUUUUUUUAAUCAUUCUUAGCAAGUACCUAUAUGUGUAUAAAGAAAGAGCUUCUUUGCAAAAUUAUAAAAAAAAAACAUGCCGAUGGCGGUUCGUUUAUGCACUAUUUAAUUUAAAAGUUGUUUGGUACUUAGGGAUUGAAACAAGUCAUUUGACUUGUUUACUAUUCGUAUAAGUUAUUCAUUAUAUACUGACAAUUUUUUAU
RNAcentral lists this long non-coding RNA (255 nucleotides) under Lathyrus oleraceus (garden pea). RNAcentral's name for it is "Pisum sativum (pea) long non-coding RNA (PSAT_LNC039098)". The record is from RNAcentral. Lineage: Eukaryota; Viridiplantae; Streptophyta; Magnoliopsida; Fabales; Fabaceae.